RNAcentral lists this ribosomal RNA (45 nucleotides) under Heterodera guangdongensis. Its description in RNAcentral is "partial 28S ribosomal RNA". Lineage: Eukaryota; Metazoa; Nematoda; Chromadorea; Rhabditida; Heteroderidae. The record is from RNAcentral.
UUCGACCUGAACUCAGACGUGAGCACCCGCUGAACUUAAGCAUAU